This 1016-nucleotide ribosomal RNA is filed under the name Bacillus subtilis. Its description in RNAcentral is "bacterial SSU rRNA". It matches the Rfam family "Bacterial small subunit ribosomal RNA", at positions 541 to 1533 of the family's 1533-position model. Lineage: Bacteria; Bacillati; Bacillota; Bacilli; Caryophanales; Bacillaceae. The record is from RNAcentral.
UUUUCCGGCAUUAUUGGGCGUAAAGGGCUCGCAGGCGGUUUCUUAAGUCUGAUGUGAAAGCCCCCGGCUCAACCGGGGAGGGUCAUUGGAAACUGGGGAACUUGAGUGCAGAAGAGGAGAGUGGAAUUCCACGUGUAGCGGUGAAAUGCGUAGAGAUGUGGAGGAACACCAGUGGCGAAGGCGACUCUCUGGUCUGUAACUGACGCUGAGGAGCGAAAGCGUGGGGAGCGAACAGGAUUAGAUACCCUGGUAGUCCACGCCGUAAACGAUGAGUGCUAAGUGUUAGGGGGUUUCCGCCCCUUAGUGCUGCAGCUAACGCAUUAAGCACUCCGCCUGGGGAGUACGGUCGCAAGACUGAAACUCAAAGGAAUUGACGGGGGCCCGCACAAGCGGUGGAGCAUGUGGUUUAAUUCGAAGCAACGCGAAGAACCUUACCAGGUCUUGACAUCCUCUGACAAUCCUAGAGAUAGGACGUCCCCUUCGGGGGCAGAGUGACAGGUGGUGCAUGGUUGUCGUCAGCUCGUGUCGUGAGAUGUUGGGUUAAGUCCCGCAACGAGCGCAACCCUUGAUCUUAGUUGCCAGCAUUCAGUUGGGCACUCUAAGGUGACUGCCGGUGACAAACCGGAGGAAGGUGGGGAUGACGUCAAAUCAUCAUGCCCCAUAUGACCUGGGCUACACACGUGCUACAAUGGGCAGAACAAAGGGCAGCUGAAACCGCGAGGUUAAGCCAAUCCCACAAAUCUGUUCUCAGUUCGGAUCGCAGUCUGCAACUCGACUGCGUGAAGCUGGAAUCGCUUAGUAUGUCGCGGAUCAGCAUGCCGCGGUGAAUACGUUUCCCCGGGGCCUUGGUACACACCGCCCCGUCACACCAACGAGAGUUUGGUAGUCACCCCGAAGUCGGGGUGGAGGGUAACCCUUUUUUUGGGAGCCCAGCCCGGCCGGAAGGGGUGGGGGAACAAGAUGGAUUGGGGGGGUUGAAAGUUCCGUUAACAAAGGGGUAAUCUCGAUAUAAGUAU